Molecule: long non-coding RNA, 764 nt
Organism: Oreochromis aureus
Lineage: Eukaryota; Metazoa; Chordata; Actinopteri; Cichliformes; Cichlidae
Exons: 3
Source: RefSeq, a predicted model, not a curated record
UCCCCUGUGCAUAGCUGCACCGAAUCUGAACAGCAAUGGCACAAGCCACGGACAGUGGGUGUGAAGCCAGGACCUAUCAACUCUAUGAUCUUCACUAAGCCGGUACCAAAUAGGAUGGCCCAGACUGGAGUACGGAGUGGAUUCUACAGAGGCAUUGUGGGUCCAUUACCAGAUCCCUGACCUGACAAGCCCCUUGUGGAAAGUGCCUUUGGGCUGGUGCAGGAGGGCAGUGUUCUGUCAUGUCAGCAGCCGGUUUUGACAACCCGGUACAUCACACUACACCGUGAUGCACCACCAACACCGCACUUGCCUCUGGAGGGUAUGACAUCAAGGAAACCCUGCUCGCUCAGACAGCCUGUGAUAUUUUCUCAAACCGCUGCGCUGAACAAGUUUCCAAAGAACAUGCUGUGUGACACAAUAAAUAUCCUUUAACCUGUUAACCUGUGGCUUCUGGAAGAAACUCGGGUGAGUCAGUCACUGCAAACACAUUUGUAUCAUCAAGUGUUUGUCAAAUGAAAAUGAUAUGUUUUUCUACACUUAGGAUAAUUUUCUAUGUUGCAGUGCAGUAAAGUGCAUGUUUCUUCUGUGUUCAAUCAUACAUGUUCUAAUUGUUAUAAACAGAAAAAAUCUUUUCUUACUUAACUGCUUGAUUCUUAACUUGUUUAACUGAAACAUGAUGAAAUGUCAUAGUAUUAUUUUUUUUAAAUGUCCUUGGCAGUGCAUGUGUCCGCAUUGUAACUUACUAAUAAAAAGUCCUGUGUGUA